Molecule: long non-coding RNA, 438 nt
Filed under: Monodelphis domestica (gray short-tailed opossum)
Lineage: Eukaryota; Metazoa; Chordata; Mammalia; Didelphimorphia; Didelphidae
Description: lncRNA (ENSMODG00000032821.2)
Source: RNAcentral
GGAAACUAACGCGAGAUCAGCCCUCAAAUGGGGGCGGAGGUUUUCCUGUGAGAUCAGCCUACGAGCUGGGGGCGGAGGUUCUUCUUGCUUUGUUGCGGGGUGCUGCGGCCAGAGUUUGGGGGUACCACGGAGGAGGAGGAGGACGAGCAGGACGAGGAGGGACGUUCGCAGGUGUCCGCGGCAGUGGCUGGACACCGAGGCAGCAGCUGAUGCCGGCUGGCCACAUUGUCAUCAGUUGCAUUGCACAGUAGGAAGAAGAUCCACCUGGGCAGUCCUGUUCUUUAUUUGGUGGCCCUUUGGAGAAUAGACCAGAUUUUUCCCACCCCUGCUGGGUCAAGAUUGAAGUCUUCGAGUGGUCAUAUUUAUGUCCUAGAAGAGGAGGGGCAAGAAGCUAGCUAGAACAGGUACAGAGUUUGAAGGAGGUUUAUUGUUUGAAAA